GUGAGGAAUAUUGCGCAAUGGGGGAAACCCUGACGCAGCAAACGCCGCGUGUGGGAAGAAGGCCUUCGGGUCGUAAACCACUUUUGCACGGGACGAAAAAGGGAUAAUCGAACAAAAUAUCCCCGAUGACGGUACCGUGAGAAUAAGCCACGGCUAACUCUGUGCCAGCAGCCGCGGUAAGACAGAGGUGGCAAGCGUUGUUCGGAAUUACUGGGCGUAAAAGAGUCUGUAGGUGGUUUGUCAAGUCUUUGGU
This 253-nucleotide ribosomal RNA is filed under the name uncultured bacterium. Its description in RNAcentral is "partial 16S ribosomal RNA". It matches the Rfam family "Bacterial small subunit ribosomal RNA", at positions 354 to 595 of the family's 1533-position model. The record is from RNAcentral.